AGCGAACGCUGGCGGCAGGCCUAACACAUGCAAGUCGAACGAACUCUUCGGAGUUAGUGGCGGACGGGUGAGUAACACGUGGUAACGUGCCUUUAGGUUCGGAAUAACUCAGGGAAACUUGAGCUAAUACCGGAUGUGCCCUUCGGGGGAAAGAUUUAUCGCCUUUAGAGCGGCCCGCGUCUGAUUAGCUAGUUGGUGAGGUAAAGGCUCACCAAGGCGACGAUCAGUAGCUGGUCUGAGAGGAUGAUCAGCCACAUUGGGACUGAGACACGGCCCAAACUACUACGGGAGGCAGCAGUGGGGAAUAUUGCGAAAUGGGCGAAAGCCUGACGCAGCAAUGCCGCGUGAAUGAUGAAGGUAUUAGGAUUGUAAAAUUCUUUCACAGGGGAAGAUAAUGACGGUACCGGGAGAAGAAGCCCCGGCUAACUUCGUG
This 433-nucleotide ribosomal RNA is filed under the name uncultured bacterium. Its description in RNAcentral is "partial 16S ribosomal RNA". It matches the Rfam family "Bacterial small subunit ribosomal RNA", at positions 29 to 507 of the family's 1533-position model. The record is from RNAcentral.